RNAcentral lists this long non-coding RNA (548 nucleotides) under Helianthus annuus (common sunflower). The record is from RNAcentral. Lineage: Eukaryota; Viridiplantae; Streptophyta; Magnoliopsida; Asterales; Asteraceae.
UUUUUUUCAAAAAAACGCACUUUCAAACCCCGUUAUUACGAGCGAGAGAUAAUAACAAAUCAACUUGUCUUUUAGAAAGAAGCUAAGGUUUCGGUGUAACGAUGAAAUCUUGAGUACCCAUCAUGGAAGUGAAAGGGGAAGGAAUUGGUGAGCGUAAAGAUCUCCUUAAAACUCUUGGCACGAGCUUUAUAUGUUAUCAUCUUAAAGGGGGUUACCAGCACCAGGAACGUAUCUUCUUCUUCUUCACCUCUGACCACAUCAAUGACUUGUAAUUCGUACUGAUCGAAAAAAAUGUUGAUUUCUGGGAAAGCACCCGGAAGCUCAUCAAGCUCAAGUUGAUACCUGAUAAACCACCCAGAAUGAUCGCUCAACAUCUCAUACACAUUUAGGCGCAAACUAUCACGUUUGGAUACUAUUAAAUGCAGAUGACCUCUAGAUUCCCCAAAGUACAUUUCCCCGAAUCUUGUUUCUGAAGGAUUCAUCUGCGCAGGUAAGGGCAACGUUUGCAACUGUUCAACAUCAAGUUUAAAGUACAAGGGACUGAAUGU